Molecule: long non-coding RNA, 384 nt
Filed under: Lathyrus oleraceus (garden pea)
Lineage: Eukaryota; Viridiplantae; Streptophyta; Magnoliopsida; Fabales; Fabaceae
Description: Pisum sativum (pea) long non-coding RNA (PSAT_LNC023981)
Source: RNAcentral
AAAGACUUGGUAAUUUAAAUUGGUUGAAGGUAAAUAUGGACGCAAUCAUACAUUUUUGUAGGAAUGAACUAUUUUCUCUGAACGCUUGAUACUUUGAGUGUUUUCCAUCUACAAUAUUACAAAUGCCACCUUUAAAACUAACAAUGAAUUUUUCUUAAAUAGGAAAUAAAAUUAACUGCUAUUUCGCUCUUGAUGAUUAAUAGCUUUAGACGUGUCUGCCCACUUCCUUUAUAACUUCCCACAUUCUUGCUAUUUUCAAAUCUUACCCGCAAACUGUUCUUUGAUUCGACUUCAACCUGGACAUUUUCUAUCUGUAGGACCUGUUUCGACUUGGCUUGUGUUCCAUGUCCGUCUUGUCUAUCGAACCCCUUCGACCAUGUUCAC